RNAcentral lists this transfer RNA (76 nucleotides) under bacterium. RNAcentral describes it as "tRNA-Gln". It matches the Rfam family "tRNA". From Rfam's summary of the family: Transfer RNA (tRNA) molecules are approximately 80 nucleotides in length. Their secondary structure includes four short double-helical elements and three loops (D, anti-codon, and T loops). The record is from RNAcentral.
UGGGGAGUGGUGUAACGGUAACACGCCAGACUUUGGAUCUGCGCGACUCAAGGUUCGAAUCCUUGCUCCCCAGCCA